Molecule: ribosomal RNA, 466 nt
Filed under: uncultured bacterium
Lineage: Bacteria
Description: partial 16S ribosomal RNA
Rfam family: Bacterial small subunit ribosomal RNA
Source: RNAcentral
UUCCAGACUCCUACGGGAGGCAGCAGUGAGGAAUAUUGGUCAAUGGGCUUACGCCUGAACCAGCCAAGUCGCGUGAGGGAAGACUGCCCUAUGGGUUGUAAACCUCUUUUGUCAGGGAGCAAUUGGCGCUACGUGUAGCGUUAUCGAGAGUACCUGAAGAAAAAGCAUCGGCUAACUCCGUGCCAGCAGCCGCGGUAAUACGGAGGAUGCGAGCGUUAUCCGGAUUUAUUGGGUUUAAAGGGUGCGUAGGCGGAAUGCCAAGUCAGCGGUAAAAUCGGGGGGCUCAACCUCGCUCCGCCGUUGAAACUGGCGUUCCUGAGUGGGCGAGAAGUAUGCGGAAUGCGUGGUGUAGCGGUGAAAUGCAUAGAUAUCACGCAGAACUCCGAUUGCGAAGGCAACAUACCGGCGCCCAACUGACACUGAAGCACGAAAGCGUGGGUAUCGAACAGGAUUAGAUACCCUCGUA